AAAUGAAUUGACGGGGACCCACACAAGCGGUGGAGCAUCUGGUUUAAUUCGACAAUAAGCGGAAAACCUCACCAAGACUUGACAUCCCGGGAAGACUGCCGAAAGGUGGUUGUGCCGCAAGGAACCCGGUGACAGGUGCUGCAUGGUUGUCGUCAGCUCGUGCCUUGAGGUGUUCGGUUAAGUCCGUAAACGAGCGCAACCCAUGUCAUGUGUUGUAUUUUUCACAUGAGACUGCCGGCUUCAAGUCGGAGGAAGGUAUGGAUGACGUCAAAUCAGCAUGGCCCUUAUGUCUUGGGCUACACAGGUGCUACAAUGGUUGGUACAAAGGGCUGCCAAGAAGUAAUUCGGAGCAAAUCCCAAAAGCCAAUCUAAGUUCGGAUUGAGGGCUGAAAUUCGCCCUCAUGAAGCUGGAAUCGCUAGUAACCGUAAAUCAGCAUGUUACGGUGAAUAUGUUCCUGGGUCUUGUACACACCGCCCGU
RNAcentral lists this ribosomal RNA (479 nucleotides) under uncultured bacterium. RNAcentral describes it as "bacterial SSU rRNA". It matches the Rfam family "Bacterial small subunit ribosomal RNA", at positions 903 to 1397 of the family's 1533-position model. The record is from RNAcentral.